CCUACGGGUGGCAGCAGUGGGGAAUAUUGCACAAUGGGGGAAACCCUGAUGCAGCAACGCCGCGUGAGUGAAGAAGUAUUUCGGUAUGUAAAGCUCUAUCAGCAGGGAAGAAGAUCACGGUACCUGAGCAUUAAUCCCCGGCUAACUACGUUCCAGCAGCCGUGGUUAUACGGAGGGGGCAAGCGUUAUCCGGAUUUACUGGGCGUAAGGGGAGCGUAGACGGUGAGACAAGUCUGAAGUGAAAGGCCGGGGCUCAACCCCGGGAGUGCAUUGGAAACUGCCAGACUGGAGUGCAGUAGAGGCAAGCGGAAUUCGUGGUGUAGCGGUGAAAUGCGUAGAUAUUACGAAGAACCCCGAUGGCGAAGGCAGCUUGCUAAACAGUGACUGACAUUGAGGCUCGAAAGUGUGGGUAUCAAACAGGAUUAGAUACCCGAGUAGUC
RNAcentral lists this ribosomal RNA (440 nucleotides) under uncultured bacterium. RNAcentral describes it as "partial 16S ribosomal RNA". It matches the Rfam family "Bacterial small subunit ribosomal RNA", at positions 338 to 795 of the family's 1533-position model. The record is from RNAcentral.